This 26-nucleotide non-coding RNA is filed under the name Rattus norvegicus (Norway rat). Lineage: Eukaryota; Metazoa; Chordata; Mammalia; Rodentia; Muridae. The record is from RNAcentral.
UCAUUGGGCUGUAGUAGGGAAAAGUC